This 47-nucleotide non-coding RNA is filed under the name Pseudomonadales bacterium. RNAcentral describes it as "Guanidine-II sequence". It matches the Rfam family "Guanidine-II riboswitch aptamer (mini-ykkC)". From Rfam's summary of the family: Simpler in structure and has fewer highly conserved nucleotide positions than the ykkC-yxkD leader. Despite this each of its two stem-loop structures directly bind free guanidine. Therefore, mini-ykkC RNA motif represents a distinct class of guanidine-sensing RNAs. Lineage: Bacteria; Pseudomonadati; Pseudomonadota; Gammaproteobacteria; Pseudomonadales. The record is from RNAcentral.
AACCACGGACGACCGUGGUGCAGACGACUACCGGCGGGACGGCCCGC